CCAAAAUCGAACCAACGCCCAGCCAAUCACGUGGCGCUCCUCCGGUCAUGUGACGCAGACGGUUCACCUCACAAGACCGGGGUCAACCACGGCUAUCAGCAUGAACGACGGCGCUUCAGACCCACGCAGCGAGGACCCGAUGCCAGGUCCAGUGGACAGACUUCAGACGUCUCUGUGUGUUCGGUCCUGUCCGGUCCUGUCUCUGGUUGCCUGGUUACAGACGCUGCUGCACCCGCACGUUUAAAAAUGUCUACACCUGAAACUCCACCACGUCUAAAGAAGCAAAAACGUUUGCAAAUGUACAGACUGGAGUGGGAAGAGUGGAACCCCUGGCAAUGGAUACAAGGCAAACUGUGUUUUCUGUUGCUCAUGGACUGGCUGAAGUAAGGCAGCAUCAGGAGACAAACCUGGAGGAAAUAUAAGAACAGAGAGAACCCAACCAGCAGGUCACAGUUUAUCAUCAUCUAAUCAUCUCCUGAAGUCCAUAUGGUCCCUCUCUAUCUCCCCACACAUCCACCAACCACUGGAACACAUCUCCAAAGUUCUGCUGGACCAGCUCAGCUUCCCCUCAGAAGAAGUGCUGCCACCUGCCAGAUGAAGGAGCCUUUUGAGAGGCAGCUGGCAUCGUGAUUGGACUGUACUGUGGUCUGUUCCAAUCCAGCUUCAGCUCCAGAGACGGCAGGUGGGACGAGUCAACGGAGGCCGGGUGGACGAAGACAUGCAGCUGAGUACAAUCCAGAAAACAACAGAGGAGGAGUGCAGCAGCCCAGAGCCAGAACAACCAGAGUAGCAUCAUAUGUCUCUUAGAAAACAUCAUAGUAUAGCCUUUGAACAAAGAACUGCAGACUCUUCACAACCUGCUCAAACUCUUGGUACAGGACCUCACCACACGGGUCAAGAAGGUUUCCAUCUCAUUUCUACUCUGAAGCUCACCUUCUCCUGCUCAAACUGCUGACAAAUGUUUCUGCUGCUCUAAAGUCUGGUCUCCAGAACUUCCUAAAAACUCUCAAAGUCUCUUCUGCUGCAGGUUGCUUUGUAGAACUGUUCCAGAAAACCUCACUAAACCACAUGGAGGGGCCUCAAGUUAGUCAUCCAAAUGAAACUGUACAAAAACCAAACUAGCACAACCCAAAUGCUAAAGUCUCCUGCAGCCUACCAGAGAACCUCUGAGAACAGAGAAUCAGGACAGGAACUCUUACCUUCUGGACAACCAACGUUGGUUCACAAACAAGAAUACAGAAUGUGUCUGACCAGAAACCUCUGAAGACUCACUACAGCCAAGAUAAAGACACAACUCAGCUGGAGCAAAUCCACUAAUCACUGCACACAUUAGCACCAUGUGCCAACUGUGGCUAAAGAACCACAUUUACCAAGACAACUAUCCAGUACAAAGCCCUAAAACACACCAAGAAACACAUUAAAGACGAUUUUACUGCUGGAAGCUGCAAGUCAACGCCGAAAAAACAAAAGCAACGGAACCAAACCCAGUUCACUGGUGAAGAGAAGCAGAGGAAAUGUUUGUCUGCAGCUAAAUAAAGCAGGAAGACACUGAGCUGCUCAGGUGUUCCUGAUAACACCAAGCUGCUCAGGUGUUCCUGAUAACACCAAGCUGCUCAGGUGUUCCUGAUAACACCAAGCAGCCACCUGGACAGCCAAUAGGAACACAGCUUACUGGAAGUCCAGAGGGCUGGCUUAGUGAAGGAAAUUUAGUUUAAAGUUGAGGCAGAAAGUUAACAAAGAAAGUUGAAAACCA
Molecule: long non-coding RNA, 1753 nt
Organism: Amphiprion ocellaris (clown anemonefish)
Lineage: Eukaryota; Metazoa; Chordata; Actinopteri; Pomacentridae
Exons: 4
Source: RefSeq, a predicted model, not a curated record